Musa acuminata AAA Group (dessert banana) is the source of this 1501-nucleotide RNA transcript. RefSeq lists it as uncharacterized. The transcript has 5 exons. Lineage: Eukaryota; Viridiplantae; Streptophyta; Magnoliopsida; Zingiberales; Musaceae. The record is from RefSeq and is a predicted model, not a curated record.
UUUUCUAAGCCAGCUUCUAGCGUUUAGGUUCAUUUAGGUGUUUAUUUGGACUACCAUUGGUCCAUGGCGUCAUAUUUGUCGGUGGGACCCAUCAGUUUGUACGGUAGAUACACUGUUGCCUGCCUUGGUCGCAACAGGGGGAGUCGGCGGUUCUUGAUCUCGGGAGAUCGCCACGUUAUGCCUAUUUCGCCUUCGCCUGCUCCAAUGCCCUCUCCCCUUCCUGUCUGCCGGAAGAGUACGCGUUGCCUGGUCGGCACGGGAUCUCGGAUCCCGGUGACGAGGGCAUACGCUUCUUGGAUUGGCUCGGCUCUGCCUGCACAUUGGUUUGGCAGGAGGAAGCCCAGGGAAGAUGGAACACCUUUCUCAGGCCAGGUACCUCUACUUAUGGCAAUUCAAAUGGAGAACACUAAAUACUUUAAUGAAACUGGCUAGUAGUUUGAGGAACCAUUUCAGGUUGCAUCUUGGGUUUUUCUUAUACGAGCAUCCCCUUGUCGGAGAGUAUGCUCUAUCUGAGACACAAAUGGAUCUUCUCCCUUAUGGUCUAAGGUGACUCAGAUAUGGUUAAAUAGGGAACCCUUAUUUAAAUUCAAGAAAAAAGGACAAGGAUGGCAUCAUCUUGACGUCCACAGUUGCAAAAACACAGUUGGACUCGAAACAGUUAAGACAAUGGGUAGUGAAUAUGGGAUACAUAAUGCUGAUGUUUCUCACCCGUAUGAUGCGUAGCUGCAGGUGAUCUCAUAUAUGCUAUUAAGGGAAGCAGAGUCUCUUUGUCGUGUAUCUAUGUAGAGAAAAAGAUGAGAAUAGAUAACACUCGAGGAACCAAAAGUCCUAUAUAAUCUUCCUCGCCACCGUUCCAGUCAGAUCUAUUGGGAACUGCUUCAAACAAAGCUGAGCUUCAAUUUCUCUUGUAUGGCAGAGUGGCUUAAUAGAGAUUGGUGAAGGGAAGGGGAACAACAGGGUAGAUCAACUUCUUUUCAGUAUUGCCUUGAUUAUUGCUACCUCCCUCUAGUAUAUCUAGAAGAACCGGAAUGAUUCUAAGUAGCGACAACUGCUUUACUGAUGGGAGAGGUACCAAUGUGAAUGAUUUAAGCUCCACCCACCAGCCUUCAUCCGCUAAUCAAGCUGAGUGCAUUCAACCUCUUCGAGAGCGUUUUGCGGUGGAUCUUUUUCAAACCUGGAUGUAAUUGCAGAACCGGUUAUUGCUUUGUGGAUGGGAAUGACACUAUAGUCACUCGAGGAAGCAGUACACAUCAGGCCUCCACCCCACUCCAAGCGGAAUGCUGAGCCAUUUGGUACGCUCCCACCAAAGCUUCACAAAUGACUUAUCGUAAUACCAUUGUCAAAUCUGACUCUUUAGAGACUCUGCUGAUUUGUAAUAAAGUUGGUCGACAUGUAUUUUUUGUCAACUCCAAUCAGGCAAGAUUUUUUUGUCUUCCUCCAAUCAAGCAAGACUGCUACCGUUCCGGUUCUUACUUGAAAGUUGAAUUUUCUUUUAGCAAAA